UUUGGAAAGAAUUCUUCGCUCUACAAGGGAUCCAGCCACAAGUUUCUAUAGCCUAUCACCCUCAAACCGAUGGACAAUCUGAGGGGGUGAAUAGAUGCCUUCAAUGUUAUCUACGUUGUAUGGCUGGAGAUCUUCCACACUCUUGGUUUUAAUGGCUAGCUCUAGCCCAAUUUUGGUACAAUACGUCUUAUCACUCUUCUAUCCAAUUGACUCCUUUUGAAGCAUUGUAUGGGAUUCCACCACCAAUCCACGUUCCUUAUUUUCCAAAAGAUUCUUCAGUAGCUGCUGUAGACAUUUUUCUAAGGGAUCGUGAAGCUGCUCUUGAAGUUCUUAAAUACCAAUUACAGAAGGCAGCCCAUCGCAUGAAAAUGCAAGUUGAUAAGCAUCGAGUUGAUAGGGAGUAUCAGAUUGGUGAUUGGGUCUUCUUAAAGUUACAACCGUACCGCCAAGUCUCUGUUCAGAAAUCUCAUCAUAAAUUCCAGCCUCGGUUUUAUGGGCCAUAUCAAGUGCUGGAUAGGAUUGGGUCUGUUGCAUAUAAAUUGAAUUUGCCACAUGAUGCUCAAAUACACAAUGUUUUUCAUGUGUCUCAAUUGAAACCAGGUUCUGCCUCUAUUACGGCUUCUUCACCUUUGCCAUCCAUCUCCCAUUUUCAAGAUGCAUUUCCCCAGGCUAUUUUGGAUAAACGGUUGGCUAAAGGGAAAAAUAUGGCAGCAACACAGUUGUUAGUUCACUGAAAGGGCUUCUCCCCUGCUGAUGCUUCAUGGGAAUAUGCAGAUGAAUUACAAGCCCGAUUUCCUACUUUUUUCCUUGAGGACAAGGAAACUUAAUGAGGAGUGUGGGCUUGGUGGGAGACUAGUUAGUGGUUCUGUUGAGGAAUUUGCCAAGAUGAAUCAGAAGAUGCCAGAUGGCUAACUUUCCGUGAGUUAUGGGAAAUGCAGUUGGGAAGCUUCUUUUGUAAUUCACUGUAUUAGUUGUAUAAAUAGAUUGUAAAGAAUAUUGUUGAUGUGUGUGAGAUGAUCAAUAAAGUCUUUCUCUCUUCUGUUGA
RNAcentral lists this unclassified non-coding RNA (1045 nucleotides) under Hevea brasiliensis (rubber tree). The record is from RNAcentral. Lineage: Eukaryota; Viridiplantae; Streptophyta; Magnoliopsida; Malpighiales; Euphorbiaceae.